GACGAACGCUGGCGGCGUGCUUAACACAUGCAAGUCGAACGGAAAGGCCCUGCUUUUGUGGGGUGCUCGAGUGGCGAACGGGUGAGUAACACGUGAGUAACCUGCCCUUGACUUUGGGAUAACUUCAGGAAACUGGGGCUAAUACCGGAUAGGAGCUCCUGCUGCAUGGUGGGGGUUGGAAAGUUUCGGCGGUUGGGGAUGGACUCGCGGCUUACCAGCUUGUUGGUGGGGUAGUGGCUUACCAAGGCUUUGACGGGUAGCCGGCCUGAGAGGGUGACCGGCCACAUUGGGACUGAGAUACGGCCCAGACGCCUACGGGAGGCAGCAGUGGGGAAUAUUGCACAAUGGGCGGAAGCCUGAUGAAGCAGCGCCGCGUGCGGGAUGACGGCCUUCGGGUUGUAAACCGCUUUCGCCUGUGACGAAGCGGGAGUGACGGUAAUGGGUAAAGAAGCACCGGCUAACUACGUG
Molecule: ribosomal RNA, 468 nt
Filed under: uncultured bacterium
Lineage: Bacteria
Description: partial 16S ribosomal RNA
Rfam family: Bacterial small subunit ribosomal RNA
Source: RNAcentral